RNAcentral lists this ribosomal RNA (483 nucleotides) under uncultured bacterium. RNAcentral describes it as "partial 16S ribosomal RNA". It matches the Rfam family "Bacterial small subunit ribosomal RNA", at positions 28 to 507 of the family's 1533-position model. The record is from RNAcentral.
GACGAACGCUGGCGGCGUGCUUAACACAUGCAAGUCGAACGCUGAAGCUCAGCUUUUGUUGGGUGGAUGAGUGGCGAACGGGUGAGUAACACGUGAGUAACCUGCCUCCUUCUUUGGGAUAACGCCCGGAAACGGGUGCUAAUACUGGAUAUUCACUGGUCUUCGCAUGGGGGUUGGUGGAAAGGGUUUUUCUGGUGGGGGAUGGGCUCGCGGCCUAUCAGCUUGUUGGUGGGGUGAUGGCCUACCAAGGCUUUGACGGGUAGCCGGCCUGAGAGGGUGACCGGUCACAUUGGGACUGAGAUACGGCCCAGACCCCUACGGGAGGCAGCAGUGGGGAAUAUUGCACAAUGGGCGCAAGCCUGAUGCAGCGACGCCGCGUGAGGGAUGGAGGCCUUCGGGUUGUGAACCUCUUUCGCUCAUGGUCAAGCCGCAACAAUGGUUGUGGUGAGGGUAGUGGGUAAAGAAGCGCCGGCUAACUACGCG